UGAGAUGCGAAAGCGUGGGGAGCAAACAGGAUUAGAUACCCUGGUAGUCCACGCUGUAAACGAUGUCGAUUUGGAGUUUGUUGCCUAGAGUGAUGGGCUCCGAAGCUAACGCGAUAAAUCGACCGCCUGGGGAGUACGGCCGCAAGGUUAAAACUCAAAUGAAUUGACGGGGGCCCGCACAAGCGGUGGAGCAUGUGGUUUAAUUCGAUGCAACGCGAAGAACCUUACCUGGUCUUGACAUCCAUAGAAUUCUGCAGAGAUGUGGGAGUGCCUUCGGGAACUAUGAGACAGGUGCUGCAUGGCUGUCGUCAGCUCGUGUUGUGAAAUGUUGGGUUAAGUCCCGCAACGAGCGCAACCCUUAUUCUUUGUUGCCAGCGAUUUGGUCGGGAACUCAAAGGAGACUGCCGUUGAUAAAGCGGAGGAAGGUGGGGACGACGUCAAGUCAUCAUGGCCCUUACGACCAGGGCUACACACGUGCUACAAUGGCGUAUACAAAGGGAAGCGAAGGUGCGAGCUGGAGCGGAUCUCAUAAAGUACGUCUAAGUUCGGAUUGGAGUCUGCAACUCGACUCCAUGAAGUCGGAAUCGCUAGUAAUCGUAGAUCAGAAUGCUACGGUGAAUACGUUCCCGGGCCUUGUACACACCGCCCGUCACACCAUGGGAGUGGGUUGCACCAGAAGUAGAUAGCUUAACCGCGAGGGGGGCGUUUACCACGGUGUGAUUCAUGACUGGGGUGAAGUCGUAACAAGGUAACCA
RNAcentral lists this ribosomal RNA (755 nucleotides) under uncultured Enterobacteriaceae bacterium. Its description in RNAcentral is "bacterial SSU rRNA". It matches the Rfam family "Bacterial small subunit ribosomal RNA", at positions 747 to 1502 of the family's 1533-position model. Lineage: Bacteria; Pseudomonadati; Pseudomonadota; Gammaproteobacteria; Enterobacterales; Enterobacteriaceae. The record is from RNAcentral.